UCAAACUUGGUCAUUUAGAGGAAGUAAAAGUCGUAACAAGGUUUCCGUAGGUGAACCUGCGGAAGGAUCAUUAUUGAAACAUUGUAAAGGAGAGUUGAGCUGGCCCUUCAAGGGCAAGUGCUCGCUGUUCUUUCAAUCUUCAUCCACCUGUGCACUUUUUGUAGGGAGUCUGAGAAACUGGGACUUUUUAAGUAAGGUUCUAGGUAUUGGGCUCCUUAUGUCUUUAUACACACCAGAUGUAUGUUUAUGAAUGUCUUUUAUAAGGGACUUAACUGGACCUUUUAAAAACUAUACAACUUUCAGCAACGGAUCUCUUGGCUCUCGCAUCGAUGAAGAACGCAGC
This 343-nucleotide unclassified non-coding RNA is filed under the name uncultured fungus. Its description in RNAcentral is "partial contains small subunit ribosomal RNA, internal transcribed spacer 1, and 5.8S ribosomal RNA". The stretch from base 1 to 73 matches the Rfam family "Eukaryotic small subunit ribosomal RNA", at positions 1759 to 1831 of the family's 1831-position model. Lineage: Eukaryota; Fungi. The record is from RNAcentral.